Long non-coding RNA from Etheostoma spectabile (orangethroat darter), 128 nucleotides. RefSeq lists it as uncharacterized. The record is from RefSeq and is a predicted model, not a curated record. Lineage: Eukaryota; Metazoa; Chordata; Actinopteri; Perciformes; Percidae. The transcript is spliced from 3 exons.
AUUACUGUUUUGAUCUACCUGUAUUUAACCCUCUGAGGUUUAAGGGCAUUUUUGGAUAUCUUCUUGAUUUCUCCUUUUAAGGGUAUUUGCAUAAAACCUGAUCCCCAUGUUUUUCACAUCAGAAUAUU